GGAGAGGUGGCAGAGUGGUUGAAUGCGACGGUCUCGAAAACCGUUAAGGUGCAAGCCUUCGAGGGUUCGAAUCCCUCCCUCUCCG
RNAcentral lists this transfer RNA (85 nucleotides) under Spirulina sp. RNAcentral describes it as "tRNA-Ser". It matches the Rfam family "tRNA". Rfam says of the family: Transfer RNA (tRNA) molecules are approximately 80 nucleotides in length. Lineage: Bacteria; Bacillati; Cyanobacteriota; Cyanophyceae; Spirulinales; Spirulinaceae. The record is from RNAcentral. RNAcentral also lists the same sequence under 2 other names.